This 76-nucleotide transfer RNA is filed under the name Bacteroides pyogenes JCM 10003. Its description in RNAcentral is "tRNA-Thr". It matches the Rfam family "tRNA". Rfam says of the family: Transfer RNA (tRNA) molecules are approximately 80 nucleotides in length. Their secondary structure includes four short double-helical elements and three loops (D, anti-codon, and T loops). Further hydrogen bonds mediate the characteristic L-shaped molecular structure. tRNAs have two regions of fundamental functional importance: the anti-codon, which is responsible for specific mRNA codon recognition, and the 3' end, to which the tRNAs corresponding amino acid is attached (by aminoacyl-tRNA synthetases). tRNAs cope with the degeneracy of the genetic code in two manners: having more than one tRNA (with a specific anti-codon) for a particular amino acid; and 'wobble' base-pairing, i.e. permitting non-standard base-pairing at the 3rd anti-codon position. RNAcentral also lists the same sequence under 1 other name. The record is from RNAcentral. Lineage: Bacteria; Pseudomonadati; Bacteroidota; Bacteroidia; Bacteroidales; Bacteroidaceae.
GCCGAUAUAGCUCAGUUGGUAGAGCAACGCAUUCGUAACGCGUAGGUCACCAGUUCAAGUCUGGUUAUCGGCUCAA